AUUGAACGCUGGCGGCGUGCCUAACACAUGCAAGUCGAGCGGUAACAGGUGUAGCAAUACAUGCUGACGAGCGGCGGACGGGUGAGUAACGCUUGGGAAUCUGCCUGUUAGUGGGGGACAACCCGGGGAAACUCGGGCUAAUACCGCAUACGCACUACGGUGGAAAGCCGGGGACCGCAAGGCCUGGCGCUAACAGAUGAGCCCAAGUCGGAUUAGCUAGUUGGUAGGUAACGGCCACCAAGGCGACGAUCCGUAACUGGUCUGAGAGGACGACCAGUCACACCGGAACUGAGACACGGUCCGGACUCCUACGGGAGGCAGCAGUGGGGAAUAUUGGACAAUGGGCGAAGGCCUGAUCCAGCGACGCCGCGUGGGUGAAGAAGGCCUGCGGGUUGUAAAGCCCUUUCGGUGGGGAAGAAAAGCCUCGAGCUAACAUCUCGGGGUCUUGACGUAACCCAUAGAAGAAGCACCGGCUAA
This 477-nucleotide ribosomal RNA is filed under the name uncultured bacterium. RNAcentral's name for it is "bacterial SSU rRNA". It matches the Rfam family "Bacterial small subunit ribosomal RNA", at positions 29 to 500 of the family's 1533-position model. The record is from RNAcentral.